This 605-nucleotide long non-coding RNA is filed under the name Apteryx owenii (little spotted kiwi). RNAcentral describes it as "lncRNA (ENSAOWG00000017952.1)". The record is from RNAcentral. Lineage: Eukaryota; Metazoa; Chordata; Aves; Apterygiformes; Apterygidae.
GGGAACCUUAGCUAACUACCGGAAAGCAGUAGCUCUGAGCACACAGCGACUGUGAGAAGUCACGUUUGGUAGAACAGGCUGUGCUGAUGGCCUCGCAGCCCGAGUGCCAUUCCCUUUCCCAGGAAUAGCGAGGGCGACUGGGUCCUGUACAACACUGUAGAGGAGUAGCACAGAAGAGAACCAGCUCCGGUCUGGAGCUGAAAAGCAGCUACUGAAUACAGUCAAGAAGAAAAACAUUUAAACCAGGUAGGAACUGUGAUUCUCCACGUUUCUUCCUCUUCCGCUGGCACCAAGAGAGCAAGCUAUACAACGCAGAGGUAGGAACAUCCAGUGCAGUGAAAAUACUAAACCAGAACACAAAGGCAGAGCAGGCUGGCUGGAAGGUACAGCCAAAGGAAAAUUAGCCUCCUCUUUAAAGGUCUAGGUACUAUUGCCAUAAGCAGUUUUGCUGAUGUAGCAGAGAGAAAACCUUAGUGCUCCUCCUUACUCUGGACUAUCACAGUCGUCUCCUCCACCUCAGUUAUACCACAGGUAAAAGUUUUUGGUUUAAAGUAGAUUCUAAAGCUUUAUUGGUCUAAAUAAAAAAAGUACAACUCAUUUCUACA